This 1842-nucleotide long non-coding RNA is filed under the name Rattus norvegicus (Norway rat). Its description in RNAcentral is "long non-coding RNA NONRATT011683". Lineage: Eukaryota; Metazoa; Chordata; Mammalia; Rodentia; Muridae. The record is from RNAcentral.
GGAGUGAGAAGGUGCUGGCUGCUGCCCCUGGAGCACAGUAGGGAAGCGAGGAGGAACCAAUAUAGAUAGUGCUUUGGCUUUUCUGAGAGGUCGGAGACAGGUGGGAGGUGACUGGUGAGUGGUGGGGAGCUGCUCACCAUCACACAGCUAUGCAGCAGGGAAUCAAAGUCCCUCUCCUGCAGGGGAACAAAGGGGCCAUUGUUGUGAAAGGACCGGCUAGAGCACAGAGGGAGCAGGAGAGGGCAGGCCGUACUGGAGCAGGACUGUUGAGGUACUGGCAAUAAAAAGUGCAGCCGUGGAGCUGUGGGAGAGUCCGUCUGCUUUGGGAGAUGUUUUAAGCAGACUCAGCUGCUAUAUUACCACAUUUUAUUAAACACAGGGAAAGCAUUUAGGAGAAGAGCAGAGAGCCAAAUCUGACCUAGAAGUUGAAAAGCCAAAGGUCAAACAGGCUGUAAGUCCAUCACCACUGAGGUUAUUGGAGACUUCUCAUUAGGAAAGGCAGGUCAGAUCCCCAGUCCCCGUAAGUGCCCCUUCCCCCUCCCUAAUUGAGCCUUACACUUUGGGUUUUGGUUUAUGGCCGUGCUGUCCGGGCUCCAAGGCUGUACCCGGGCUCCAUGUCAAAGCAAAGCACACAUGGCCCACCUCUUAGAGUCCUGAAGACGGAAGUAAGUUAUGACGUGGACGGGAAGGAGGAAGAUAGGACAUAUUUAUAAUAGGUGUAUAGAACACAAGGGAUAUAAAAUGAAAGAUUUUUACUAAUAUAUAUUUUAAGAUUACACACAAUACACACCAGAAGAUGUGGAGUUCAUUGGUGGUAGUGAUUAAAGUGAUCCCAGCGAUUAGUGCUUUAAAAAGUGAAAGAUUGGAUAGCUACUCCCCAAAAUUACGAGGAAAACACCAAUAGUGAGAGCAAACAGCAAAAACAACAAGGUCCUGUGGAAAUCUCGAAGAACUGUAGACUAAGAAAGCCAGCCCCUGAACACCAGGAAAUCGAUGUGACCUAGCCCCGGGUUAGACAGCGACAAGACGUGCUGGCCUUUAUUUUCUGUGUUGGAUUUUUCCCUUGCCUUAUGGGCUGAAGUGUUCUCUAGGAUUUAGCAGGUCACACUGAGGGGGUAACAGUUGAACGGUUAGCUGUGGGUCUCUCCUCCUCUCCUGCCCCAUCCCUGCCCUUCCAGAAGAAUAAACAGGAAGCAGGAAGCCUUCCCUUUUUUUUUUUUUUUAAGUGCUAUGCAAAAUAGACAUCUUUAACAGAGUCCUGUUACUAUGGUAACAUUUUGCUUUCUGAAUUGGGAGGAAAAAAAAAAUUCUAAUGACAGCAUUUGAAGGUUCUCAGACCUCCAGUGAGUACCUGCAAAAAAGAGUUGUCACAGAAAUUAUCCCCCUACUUCCCAAACCUGAAGAUGCUUUUCUUACCCAGAUUGUGUACAUAGAGCAAUGUUGGUUUUUUAUAAAGUCUAAGCAAGAUGUUUUGUAUAAAAAUCUGAAUUUUGCAAUGUAUUUAGCUACAGCUUGUUUAACGGCAGUGUCAUCCCCUUUGCACUGUAAUGAGGGAAAAAAAAAGGUAUAAAAGGUUGCCAAAUUGCUGCAUAUUUGUGCCGUAAUUAUGUACCAUGAAUAUUUAUUUAAUUUCGUUGUCCAAUUUGUAAGUAACACAGUAUUAUGCCUGAGUUAUAAAUAUUUUUUCUUUGUUUUAUUUUAAUAGCCUGUCAUAGGUUUUUUUAAUCUGCUUUAGUCCCACAUGACAGUUAAGCCCCAGAAAUGGGAUCCGAGCAGUCACAUUCCACAUCUGUUUCAAAAUGAAUUUGUUCUUAAAAAAAUAAAAUAUUUUUUUCCUAUGGA